AAUUUCUAGGUUAAGCUAGAAAGAGCGCACGGAGGAUGCCUAGGCGCCAGGAGCCGACGAAGGACGUGGCGAACAACGAAAUGCCUCGGGGAGCCGUAAGCAGGCUACGAUCCGGGGAUGUCCGAAUGGGGGAACCCACGUGCCGUAAUAGGUACGUACACCCUGCUGAACACAUAGGCAGGGCUGAGGCAGACCAGGGGAACUGAAACAUCUAAGUACCCUGAGGAAGAGAAAACAACAGUGAUUCCGUCAGUAGCGGCGAGCGAACGCGGAUUAGCCCAAACCAGUGAGCGUGCUCACUGGGGUUGUGGGACACUCCACAUGGAGUUACAAAAGGUUAGGCUAGGUGAAGCAGUCUGGAAAGGCUCACCAUAGGGGGUAACAGUCCUGUAGCCGAAAGUCUAACCCCUCCGGAGUGGAUCCCGAGUAGUGCGGGGCACGUGAAACCCCGUAUGAAUCCGGCAGGACCAUCUGCCAAGGCUAAAUACUCCCUGGCGACCGAUAGCGAAGCAGUACCGUGAGGGAAAGGUGAAAAGCACCCCGGGAGGGGAGUGAAAGAGAACCUGAAACCGUGCGCUUACAAGAAGUCAGAGCCCUAUGAUGAAACUUGUUUCAUCACGGGUGAUGGCGUGCCUUUUGUAGAAUGAACCGGCGAGUUACGUUUGGUUGCGAGGUUAAGGUGAGAAGCCGAAGCCGCAGCGAAAGCGAGUCUGAAUAGGGCGAGUAUAGUAACCAGGCGUAGACCCGAAACCGGGUGAUCUACCCCUGUCCAGGGUGAAGGUGAGGUAACACUUACUGGAGGCCCGAACCCACGUACGUUGAAAAGUGCGGGGAUGAGGUGGGGGUAGCGGAGAAAUUCCAAUCGAACUCGGAAAUAGCUGGUUCUCCCCGAAAUAGCUUUAGGGCUAGCCUCGGUUUAGAGUAGCGGAGGUAGAGCACUGAUUGGGUGCGGGGUCCGUCAAGGAUUACCAAGUCUAGUCAAACUCCGAAUGCCGCAUAUUUGAUGACCGGGAGUCAGACGGUGAGUGCUAAGAUCCAUCGUCAAGAGGGAAACAGCCCAGACCAUCCGCUAAGGUCCCGAAGUUUGUGUUAAGUGGGAAAGGAUGUGGAGUUGCACAGACAACCAGGAUGUUGGCUUAGAAGCAGCCACCAUUGAAAGAGUGCGUAAUAGCUCACUGGUCGAGUGACUCUGCGCCGAAAAUGUAACGGGGCUAAACACAGCACCGAAGCGAUGGCUUGCGACGUCUCCACUGCGUCUUUGAACGAAGGGUUUAGACCCGUGGAAUUCGCCAGAAUCAACCAUGAAGGUGGAUGAGGGAUUCUGGCUAAAUGAUUCCCAGGGGCUAAACACCGGACUUCGAAGGUGGAGUGGAGACGUUGCAGGGGUAGGGGAGCGUUCUGUACGGGUGGAAGCUGUACCGUGAGGAGCAGUGGACUGUACAGAAGUGAGAAUGCCGGUAUAAGUAACGAAAAGACAGGUGAGAAUCCUGUCCGCCGAAAGCCUAAGGGUUCCUGAGGAAGGUUCGUCCGCUCAGGGUCAGUCGGGACCUAAGGCGAGGCCGAAAGGCGUAGUCGAAGGACAACAGGUAGACAUUCCUGUACCACCGUAGCCGUUAUGAGUGAUGGGGUGACGCAGGAGGGAAGGACCGCAGACGGAUGGAAGGGUCUGUCCAAGCAGUAAGGCGGGUGCAUAGGCAAAUCCGUGCACUGGUAACGUUGAGCUGUGAUGGGGAGGGGAACUUGAAGUACCCGAAGGGUUUGGCCUCAUACUGCCGAGAAAAGCCUCUAACCAGGCGAAGGUGCCCGUACCGCAAACCGACACAGGUAGGCGAGCAGAGCAUGCUAAGGCGCGCGGAAGAACUCUCGUUAAGGAACUCGGCAAAAUGACCCCGUAACUUCGGGAGAAGGGGUGCCUCGGUAGGGUGAAUAGCCCGAGGGGGCCGCAGUGAAAAGGCCCAAGCGACUGUUUAGCAAAAACACAGGUCUGUGCGAAGCCGCAAGGCGAAGUAUACGGGCUGACGCCUGCCCGGUGCUGGAAGGUUAAGGGGAGAGGUUAGCGUAAGCGAAGCUUUGAACCGAAGCCCCAGUAAACGGCGGCCGUAACUAUAACGGUCCUAAGGUAGCGAAAUUCCUUGUCAGGUAAAUUCUGACCCGCACGAAUGGCGUAACGACUUGGGCGCUGUCUCAACGAGAGAUCCGGUGAAAUUUUAAUACCUGUGAAGAUGCAGGUUACCCGCGACAAGACGGAAAGACCCCAUGGAGCUUUACUGCAGCUUGAUAUUGGACUGGGGUACGACCUGUACAGGAUAGGUGGGAGCCAUGGAAGCCGGUGCGCCAGCAUCGGUGGAGGCGCCGUUGGGAUACCACCCUGGUUGUAUUCGAGUUCUAACCUGGUACCGUAAGCCGGUACAGGGACCGUGUCAGGCAGGCAGUUUGACUGGGGCGGUCGCCUCCUAAAGUGUAACGGAGGCGCCCCAAGGUUCCCUCAGAAUGGUUGGAAAUCAUUCGGAGAGUGCAAAGGCAGAAGGGAGCUUGACUGCGAGACGAACAGGUCGAGCAGGGACGAAAGUCGGGCUUAGUGAUCCGGUGGUUCUGAAUGGAAGGGCCAUCGCUCAACGGAUAAAAGCUACCCUGGGGAUAACAGGCUUAUCUCCCCCAAGAGUCCACAUCGACGGGGAGGUUUGGCACCUCGAUGUCGGCUCAUCGCAUCCUGGGGCUGAAGUAGGUCCCAAGGGUUGGGCUGUUCGCCCAUUAAAGCGGUACGCGAGCUGGGUUCAGAACGUCGUGAGACAGUUCGGUCCCUAUCUGUCGCGGGCGUAGGAAAUUUGAGAGGAGCUGUCCUUAGUACGAGAGGACCGGGAUGGACGUACCGCUGGUGUACCAGUUGUCUCGCCAGAGGCAUGGCUGGGUAGCUAAGUACGGAAGGGAUAAGCGCUGAAAGCAUCUAAGCGUGAAGCCCCCCUCAAGAUGAGAUUUCCCACAUUGGUAAGACCCCUGGUAGACGACCAGGUCGAUAGGUUCGAGGUGGAAGUGCAGCAAUGCAUGCAGCUGACGAAUACUAAUCGGUCGAGGGCUUAACCAAAUUAC
This 3087-nucleotide ribosomal RNA is filed under the name Xylanibacillus composti. Its description in RNAcentral is "23S ribosomal RNA". It matches the Rfam family "Bacterial large subunit ribosomal RNA". Lineage: Bacteria; Bacillati; Bacillota; Bacilli; Caryophanales; Paenibacillaceae. The record is from RNAcentral.